Molecule: long non-coding RNA, 507 nt
Organism: Oreochromis aureus
Lineage: Eukaryota; Metazoa; Chordata; Actinopteri; Cichliformes; Cichlidae
Exons: 3
Source: RefSeq, a predicted model, not a curated record
GGGAUGCCCUGGAGGCCACACCCCCGGGCUCGGCCAUCACCUGCACACCUGCUUUACAUCCGGGGCGAUUACCCCACGUUGAUGGAUGCUCCAUGCCAGUCCGUUAAUCACCUCUCUGUGAUUACAAUCCAGCAUCCUGCAUCUGCCACCUGCCUGUCCUCCUGCUCGCCUGGACCACCCGGUGCAUCAGCUGGCCUUAUUCCUGACUCCGAUUCACUUUCCACGGACUCACUCACCCCCCUUCCGAGUCCCACGGUCCCUCUCCGAUCCCUCCCACGGUCCCGAUUCCAGCUUCCCUGCGUCAUUUAUUUCCCCGGGUUUUCUUCAGUUCCUCGCUUGCUUCUUUAAUUACUCCGGGUCACCUUUUGUUAAUAUAAUAAACCGUUUUUCUUGCUCGCAUUUGAGUCUGCUUUUGGAUCCUUUUUGUGUGCACACGCUUCGGCGUAUGACAAUUUUUGCUUUUACAUUUCUAACAUGAUGCUUCCAGUGAAUUUUUCUGUUUAACAU